This 672-nucleotide ribosomal RNA is filed under the name uncultured archaeon. RNAcentral's name for it is "bacterial SSU rRNA". It matches the Rfam family "Archaeal small subunit ribosomal RNA", at positions 99 to 754 of the family's 1478-position model. The record is from RNAcentral.
CGUGGCUAACCUGCCCUUGGGACCAGAAUACCCCCGGGAAACUGGGGCUAAUUCUCGAUAGGUGAAGAACUCUGGAAUGAGUCUUCGCUUAAAAGAGGCUGGGGUUAUGCUCUCCAGUUUCGCCCAAGGAUGGGGCCGCGACCGAUCAGGUUGUUGGUGAGGUAAUGGCUCACCAAGCCUUUUACCGGUGCGGGCCGUGAGAGCGGGAGCCCGGAGAUGGGCACUGAGACAAGGGCCCAGGCCCUACGGGGCGCAGCAGUCGCGAAAACUUUGCAAUAAGCGAAAGCUUGACAGGGCUAUCCCGAGUGCCAUCCGCUGAGGAAGGCUUUUACCCAGUCUAGAACGCUGGGGGAAUAAGGAGAGGGCAAGUCUGGUGUCAGCCGCCGCGGUAAUACCAGCUCUCCGAGUGGUGUGGAUGUUUAUUGGGCCUAAAGCAUCCGUAGCUGGCUAGGUUAGUCCCCUGUUAAAUCCACCGAAUUAAUCGUUGGAUUGCGGGGGAUACUGCUUGGCUAGGGGACGAGAGAGGCAGACGGUAUUUCCGGGGUAGGGGUGAAAUCCUAUAAUCCCGGGAAGACCACCAGUGGCGAAGGCUGUCUGCUAGAACGCGCCCGACGGUGAGGGAUGAAAGCUGGGGGAGCGAACCGGAUUAGAUACCCGGGUAGUCCCAGCUGU